Molecule: ribosomal RNA, 516 nt
Filed under: Psychrobacter sp. BTN13
Lineage: Bacteria; Pseudomonadati; Pseudomonadota; Gammaproteobacteria; Moraxellales; Moraxellaceae
Description: bacterial SSU rRNA
Rfam family: Bacterial small subunit ribosomal RNA
Source: RNAcentral
CAGGCUUAACACAUGCAAGUCGAGCGGAACGAUGAUAGCUUGCUAUCAGGCGUCGAGCGGCGGACGGGUGAGUAAUACUUAGGAAUCUACCUAGUAGUGGGGGAUAGCACGGGGAAACUCGUAUUAAUACCGCAUACGACCUACGGGAGAAAGGGGGCAGUUUACUGCUCUCGCUAUUAGAUGAGCCUAAGUCGGAUUAGCUAGAUGGUGGGGUAAAGGCCUACCAUGGCGACGAUCUGUAGCUGGUCUGAGAGGAUGAUCAGCCACACCGGGACUGAGACACGGCCCGGACUCCUACGGGAGGCAGCAGUGGGGAAUAUUGGACAAUGGGGGAAACCCUGAUCCAGCCAUGCCGCGUGUGUGAAGAAGGCCUUUUGGUUGUAAAGCACUUUAAGCAGUGAAGAAGACUCCGUGGUUAAUACCCACGGACGAUGACAUUAGCUGCAGAAUAAGCACCGGCUAACUCUGUGCCAGCAGCCGCGGUAAUACAGAGGGUGCAAGCGUUAAUCGGAAUUA